GAACACAUUCUCAAGCUUAUGCAAUUGUUGUUGAAGACAAUUUUAAAUUCACAUAUAUAAUUGUUAAAUUGAUUUUCAUGAACUUUAGCAAGGUGUUAUUGCAGGAUGCAGGUGAAGCCGUCAUCUCAGCCAAUUAUUGUUUCCAUCCCAAUCUGCCAUUCUGAUGAUACUGAAUCUGCUAGGGCUUCUAGAAGACAGUUGAUGGAGACUAUUUAUUCAGUCCUGUUUGAUAUGAAUGCUCCAGCUGUUUGUGCCAUUGAUCAAUCUUUAUUUGUAGGACUUGCCCCUUAAACUGUAGAUAUAUCUGAGAUGGCUAACAUGUUUCUGGACAAUCAGGUUCUUGGAUGGUUGUGGUGAGGUUUUCUUUCUUUUCUUAGCCGCCUUGUUUUCCUGCACGUUCAAUAAUCUGAGUACUUAUCAAGAUAAUAGCCAAAUUAUUUUUUAUUCAUUUUCCUUUCUCAUGGCUAACAUUUUCAUAUCCUGAUCUCCCCCAUUUAUUCCCAUGAUGGCACUUGAGAGAUUUUGAAUUAUAAGCAUGAAACAAGAUUGAAGAUCAAGGUUUUUAUGCUGGAUAGCAUGUACCAUGUCAGGCUAGUAUGGGUACUAGAUGGGCACAACACUUAUUAUGUCCUUUUCUUUUUAAUUUUACAAGUAAUGAAAAGCUUUUAUAUUUUUUGUCUUUUUUCUAAUAUUUCAAAUUGUAGCAGAUGCGGAAACUGUGUGUUGCUGGCACUUGAAUUAGACCUGAGCAUAAGUUGGACUGCACUGGGUUUGGUCGGACCUUGAGCUUAGUUUCAAGGACUUGCAAGCAUUAUUCAGCUCGAGUCUGGUCUGACCUGAAGGUGCACCAAAUCCAGUGAGGCAGCAGGUGCAAAUAGUUUUCGGGCAG
Elaeis guineensis (African oil palm) is the source of this 889-nucleotide non-coding RNA. The record is from RefSeq and is a predicted model, not a curated record. NCBI's taxonomy places the organism in Eukaryota, Viridiplantae, Streptophyta, Magnoliopsida, Arecales, Arecaceae.